CAGGAGGGGAAGGCUGGACAGGAAAAACCAUUCCCUUUUAUAAAAAGCAUGCAGGUUUUACAGCAAGUACCCUUCGCAUAGCAACCACCACUUAGCAGCCUCCACCUAGCUGAAAACAAUGGGCCUCAGUUCCUUGGACCACCUGCAUUCCAAGGCACACGCCAGGAUCCAGGUGUCCUUCACAGGUAUGGCAUAAACAUCAGGGUUGGCCAUUACUGGAACACUAAACAAACAUUCAUCAAGGAACACAGGAUCAUUCUCAAGCGUUCUAGAACACAACUACUAACUAGCUCGGCCUGGUACCACGGAUUUGUGCUACGGCACCAGGAGAGCAAAAUCAACACAGAAAAAAGCAAGAAAACUCAGAGAAAAAAUAAAACAAAUCUACAAUGAACACAUCAGUAUGUAUAUUUCUACAAACUUGUGUGAGAAGUUCUGUAAGAUCAAGUCCUAAAAGCAGAAUUGCUGGCUCAAAGGUAUUUCUCUCGGAAGUAUUAAGAUUUCAAAAACUGGGCAGAAUGAAUCACAGACAAAUGCUUUCAGAAACUUAGAUGGGGACAUAUAUAAUGUAAGAUGGACUUAACUUACAUGUAGAAUAAAAUGGACUUACAUGUAAAAGCAUUUAGAGUGUCUGGUAUUAUGUGUUAGCUCCUACUAUUAUUGUUAAAUCAUUAUUGUAACUUAUUACUAAGUCAUAAGUUACUAAGUAAAAAGUUACAAUAAUAAUUUUUAAAAUUUUUUCCAGUCCUAUGUGAUCUGAAAAAAUAUAUAUAUACCCAAAUACCGUUUACUUAAACAUGGGAAGGUAGAGGACAAGGAAAGAAGAAAAGCUAAGUAAAAUGUAUUUCCUUGUUCUAAUAGGAGAAGAAGUCACGGAAAAAUGUAAGGUUAAACACGUCAGUUUACAAUUAGGAAUAUCUGCUUUACUUCCUUUAUUGGAGUAACUAAA
Molecule: long non-coding RNA, 949 nt
Filed under: Homo sapiens (human)
Lineage: Eukaryota; Metazoa; Chordata; Mammalia; Primates; Hominidae
Description: HSALNT0302028
Source: RNAcentral